This 228-nucleotide ribosomal RNA is filed under the name uncultured bacterium. Its description in RNAcentral is "partial 16S ribosomal RNA". It matches the Rfam family "Bacterial small subunit ribosomal RNA", at positions 118 to 347 of the family's 1533-position model. The record is from RNAcentral.
UGAGCAACCUGCCCCCUACUUCGGGAUAAGCCUUGGAAACGAGGUCUAAUACCGGAUAUGAGCACUUACCGCAUGGUGGGUGUUGGAAAGUUUUUCGGUGGGGGAUGGGCUCGCGGCCUAUCAGCUUGUUGGUGAGGGUAACGGCCCACCAAGGCGACGACGGGUAGCCGGCCUGAGAGGGUGACCGGCCACACUGGAACUGAGACACGGCCCAGACUCCUACGGGAG